UAAUGCACAAAUGACAUUUAUGAGUCUCCAGAGAGAGAGAGAGAGAGAGAGAGAGAGAGAGAAUAAUAGCCAGACACCCUUUUCUGGCUCAUCAAGGAGAACAAUCUCAGAGAAGGCAAACAGCGAGCACCCCACCCACCAUGUUUAACAAUCUGAUUUUCUAAAUGCAAAGUGGAAACAGUGAUCUCCCUACAAUGAAUCUAGCGAGGGGACGCUUUUCUAGUGUCCUAUCUCAUUUCCAUCUUCCAGACUCCCCCCAAAUCUCAAACCAAUGCUCAUCAUCCCAGCUCAGUGCCCUGCAAUACACUCACGGGUACGAAGGACACACUCCUUUUCCGGAGACAGGUGAGUGCUGAGCUCAAACAGGUGUCUAUGUUCUCAAAAACUAUAGCCCACCCGAAGCUCAAACCAUGUUUUAGUAAAGGCCUCUUUUAUUGGGUUUGAAGUAUGAGAUAUGAUGGUAUUUCUCUUAAAGUCAGUAAGUCUGCACAGGCUACCUUUUUACUACAGAUUAGAAACUUAAGCAAUUAGAUGAUAUUAGUGUACAUACAAAAACUGAGGAAGCUUCUGCUCUAUUUGGUGCUGACUACAUUUUCUAUCGGAAGCUACUGGACAAGCAAGUCAAAAGAAAAAUAUAAACUAUCUCAUUUACAGGAAUCAAAAUUAAAUAUAUUGCUUUUGUUACUUCUUUUUCUUCAACACAGCAAAGAGGGUGUUUGGUAGACUGGCUAUUUAUAAUUCCUUACCAAAAUCUUAACACUCUCAGUUGAAUGUUUUUGGAGAACACCUGUACAACACAAACUUUAGUAUUAUUAAUAAUUCGAUGACUCCUUCUAAGAAUUCAGUUGCACUGUAGGGAGAUCACUGUUUCCACUUCUGCACUUUCUCCAGAGUAAAGAAAUACGAAUUUAGUCAGAAGCAUAGUGUUGUUCCUCCCUUCUAGUGCAGGGAAAUCCGUCUACAUAAAUUCAUGUUUUAUGUGGGCAUUAUUCAUAUUCAAUAGCUUGGUUAACUUUCCUAACAGAACUUUCUUAAUAUUUGAUAACGGUGUAACAAGGUUUACAGAAACAAUGGCCUGCUGAUGUUUACAAAUAUUAAUUCAUGUUUGGUAUUUUAUGCAUUUAAAUGCUUUUACUUAAUGUCACCUGCCCUAAGAGUGAGUCAAAUCUGUUUUCACAUUUUAACUAUAGUUCUUAUCAUCUGUUUAAAUUUUGUGUGGUCAUAGCAUUCUCAUUGCAAUACGACUAGAACGACCUAACAGUGUUUUCGCUAGUAGUGGUUUUGCUAUUUUUAAUAUUAAGCGGGGAUUUGAUUGGCAAUACCACAGGGUGAUAAAUUGAGGCAGUCAUACGGAACGACCUACGUGGAACAAUAAUGCUAGUUCCAGAAGCAACAUAAUAAUAAUUAAUAAUAAUAAUAAUAAUAAUAAACCCAGUGAAUAUGAUCUCCUCUUAAUUACGGUCGUUAACCUUCAUUGAAGCUUCCUCCUUUUCUCCCGUUCUUUCUGUCGACUUGAACUAUUUCUAUUUACGGAGCCCCCAAUCGAAGGACCCAACAGUCCUUAAGCGCAACUUCCGGUCGUUAAUACUCGCUUCCUCUUCCUGGUCUCUCGGGAAAAGAAAGCGAAAGAGAAACCCAGGUGGUUCUGGAUGGCGAUUCCCAGGGACUCCGGGUCCAGGGAGGCCCCGUACACUUCCCAGGUCAUGCCCUGCUCAUCCCACACCACGUCCCUGACGCGCUUGGACUGCUUCAGCUGCAGCUUGGAGUCGGGGCCGAGCUGCUUCUUCUUCUCUCCCGGGGUGAGCCCCACCUGCGCGGCGGCCGCCGUCACGUUGAGCUUUUGCUCCCUGAGGAACUCGCUGACGCGGCUGGCGCGGCGCGGGCUGGCUUUGGCCAAGCGAGAAGGGGUCCUCUUGCCGGAACCCGGACUGGAGUCGCCCACGGCGGCGUCACACGGCAGGCUCAGGCUGGCGGCCGCCUUGGGCGCUCGGCUUUCUUCCGACGCCGCCUCCUGGCUGCGCCUCACGGGGGACGGCGUAGCACCGGCGGCGGGCGCGGGGCCUCCACCUUCCCGAGACUUCGGGGUGAGCAGCAGCGUCUCGGCGUCCGCCCGGGCCCCGCCGUCCAGGCUCUCGGUGCCCCGACGCGCCGGCCGCUUUCCUGCCUGAGGAGAGGCGCGCUGCCCGUCCCCCGCGGCGCCCCAGCUCUCGGCCCUGGCAGGGCCGCCGGACGCCCGGAGCUGGCGGUGUGCGUCUGUUCUGUGGCCAUCCGCGCUGUUCACCGCCAGCUCGGCCGGCUCGGAUUCAGAGCCCCCCAGUCGGUGGCCUGUCGCCGUGUGACUUCCUGCGCUGACAGAAAUCUGGUCGCUGGCGCUGGCUUUUGGGGAGCCAGACUUCACACUCGAGAGCCGUUUGGAGGUGGGCGCCUCCCUGCUUGGGGUCAUUCCUGCUGACCUCCCCGCUUCCUUACACGUACUCUGAGCAUCGCCCGCUGCCGCCGCGGUCGGUGACACGGUAAGGACCUCCCCCGGUAGCCUCACCGAGUUACCUUCUCCUUGGAAAGCCGUGGAAACGGCAGUAGGCGCCUGGCCGUGCGCCUCCGGUGUGAUGCCUGGACACUGACCUGGCUCCUGGGGGCCCAGGAGGUCGUCAGACACCUCCACGGUGCGGCUCCCACUGCCACCCCCAUGGCAGACGACACGAAGCUGCUCCUGUGGUUCCAAACGCUCAGGAACGGGCAUUUCCUUUAAGAAUGCUGUGAGGAUGCUGGGGCUGGUGGACACGGACCUGCUCUCGACACUUGCCACCGCCUGCACCUCGGCGUCUUGCUGAGCCCUGCUGGGAACUUCCCUGACCUCACCUGCAGCUUGGUUGGUCAUUGUACUCGCUUCUUUGAACCGUAACACCUGGUGCUGCGCUGGCAGUGGCACCUUUCCCAGGUCCGGAGGAAACGUGGAGCCUUGACUAGUGAGGUGGGAUAGUUGAGUUGUCACGGGAGUCACACUCUGGCUGUCCGAGGUGGUGGCAGGGGGCUGUUUGUUCCCAGAGCAUCCAUCUUCUCUUGCUGGAGGUUCACAGGACCUUGUCCGGGGGUCACACAUAGCUCCUGGCCUUUCCCCUUCAGGUCCGCCUACGGGAGAGGAGGUGUGAAUGAACGCCCUGGCUGCCAUAUUUGCAGUUUGUACCGUUUCCUGGAUUGUUUCUGGAGAAGGAGAAUCACAGGGCACUUGAGCUUCGCUGUUGCCCCGGGUGCUGCCCGCCGGACAGCUUGACGUUUCAGCUUGCUCUCCUUCUGAGGAAGUUCUCAGUGUUUUCAGCAGUGUAUCUUCAGGUCCUGAUGAGGGGCUGGCCUUGAGCUGGGCACCUGGGAUGGCCUGGUAGGCAUGCUGACUGGCUGGCAUGGUCAAUGCUUCGUCUAGAUCCUUUCCUGCUGUAGAACACGGGGCUGGCGCUGUGGGCUCGCAGCUUCCUGGCAGCUGGGUAUGGCCAGGAGAGUUGCACGCGGAAGACACUUUUUCCACCUCAUUGAAGAUACCAGGAGAAGACAUGUCCGGCUGGGUGGUCUCAUGCUCACAGGCCUGCAUCAGGGCCUCAGCAGCUGCCCUGGGGCUGAGGACUGGCUCUUCAGGAGGCCCAGAGAGGCCAUUGGUGUUCUUACACAGGAGGGCUGGUGGAGCCCGAGGUGAGGCAGGCUGCACUUCUAGAUCCUCCUCUUUUCCAGAAGCUGUGAUCAAGGAAGUUUUAGCCGAUCUCAAAGGGUCAGAUACUUAGAAUGAGACAUGUUACGUCUUAAUGGAGGGAGUGUGAUGAGUUGAAGACAGAAAAUGAGACAUGGAGAGACUGAAAGGUGGGAAAAGACUAGAUUCUGAAAAGUAUAUCUGAAUUUUAAUGUAUAUUCAGCUUAUUUUCUCCUCCAAACCAGCUCUUACAAGUAACUUCAUCACUCAUAUUGAUGGGUUGAAUAUUUUCCCAUCCUUGGUCUGUCUUGACUACUCUCUGCUCACUCAAAUCCUUUCCAUGUCUUCCUUAUUGGAGAUUUCUGUUGCAGUGGCUGGGCCCCAACCCCCUCUUACCUUCUCUCCUCUUCUCACCUGCCUUUAUUGUGCCUUUCCUCCCACUCUCUGCUAUCCUCCUUAGAAAGCCUACCUGUUCUUCAAGGCUCCACUUAAAUCUCAUUUUCUUUCUGAAGGCCUCUGAUGCUUUCAAGUCAUAAAGUCUCCUUUUAAAAUCAUACAGCUAUAGUUAUCUGGGUCCUUCUUAUGCACUGUUUUUGUACCGUUGUACUUGUAUAAAUGUUGUAUUUCUCCAAAGGUACUUCAAGUUCCAGGAGGGAAGAAGACAAGCUUAUUGAUUCUUUUCUGUUCACUCCACAGGAGACAGUGCCAAGUCUUGUGCAUAAAAAGGUGUUAAUUGAUCCCAUUUCCCUCCAAAAUGGCCAUUAUUAAAGCCCUGCCAAACUUCAAAAUAAUAGGAAAUUUCAACCCAUGAUGUAUUAAUCAAAACGUAAUUUAAAAAAAGAGUGCUAUUUUUGAAAGAAAAUGGUUGUAUCUUAUUUAUGAAACUUUAUCUGUAAUUCCAUGUUAGACAAUUAAAAACAAGUCCAGUGGACAUCUGCUACAAAAGCUGGAAGGUUUCAUAAAGCCAGAAGGACAGAACAUCGCCUAUGUUAUAUAGCGGGAGCAAAGAAACCUGGUUUGCCAAAGAUAACUGAAAUAUAAACAGCUCAAGGUUCAGCAACUGAAGUUCGAAGACUCAGAAAAACAUGAUGGAUUUCAGAAAAACUCUCAGAAUUCACUACAUUAACUUCCAUUUUUUACAGAUAGCUAGCUGCUGAUACUAGCUUAACUGUGAAAGGGUGUUUUGUUUAUUUAUUAAUAGAGGUAUAAAACUAUUCAUCAACUUAAGAAUCAAAAAGAAAUACCAGAUUGCUCGGCUAAUACCUGUAAUUCGAAAUCUCUUGAUUCAUGGGGAGAUAAGACAUCAACACUUCUCUCAAACAUGUCUGCUAAAGUAAUUGUCACAGCAUCUUCAUGCACCCAGAAAAAAACCAUCUCCCCUUUCCAACCAAAAGCAGAAAUCUAUAGUCUCUAAUAGGUUAGACAAAUAGGACAUUUUAAAAGUGUAAUUACUUGGUGGCUUAGAGUGAGGAGUACAUAUCUUUUAAACCAAGCUGAGUCCAUUAAGGUAAGAUUUAAUAACCUCUAAAAAUGAAAUUACAAACAGGUAGCCUGCGGCUGAAUGAAUCUCUGCUGCAGGUGUGUAUGUGUGUGUGUGAGAGAGCGAGAGAACGCAAAUGCACAUGGUACAAGGGCAGGAGGCAGGGUGUAUAUACUGCAUGGUUUCCCCUUUUCUUCCCUUUCUUCCCACCUCCGGUCUCUUUUCCCCUCUCUCCUUCCCUUCCCUCCCC
This is a long non-coding RNA of Canis lupus familiaris (dog), 5406 nucleotides long. RefSeq lists it as uncharacterized. The record is from RefSeq and is a predicted model, not a curated record. NCBI's taxonomy places the organism in Eukaryota, Metazoa, Chordata, Mammalia, Carnivora, Canidae. The transcript has 3 exons.